GACAGAGGGUGCAAACGUUGUUCGGAAUUACUGGGCGUAAAGCGCGUGUAGGCUGCUUCGCAAGUCGGGUGUGAAAGCCCUGGGCUCAACCUAGGAAGUGCACUCGAAACUGCGGAGCUCGAGUCCUGGAGAGGAAGGCGGAAUUCUCGGUGUAGAGGUGAAAUUCGUAGAUAUCGAGAGGAACACCGGUGGCGAAGGCGGCCUUCUGGACAGUGACUGACGCUGAGACGCGAAAGCGUGGGGAGCAAACGGG
Molecule: ribosomal RNA, 253 nt
Filed under: uncultured bacterium
Lineage: Bacteria
Description: partial 16S ribosomal RNA
Rfam family: Bacterial small subunit ribosomal RNA
Source: RNAcentral